This 305-nucleotide signal recognition particle RNA is filed under the name Corchorus capsularis. RNAcentral describes it as "SRP RNA Plant_SRP". It matches the Rfam family "Plant signal recognition particle RNA". The record is from Rfam by way of RNAcentral. Lineage: Eukaryota; Viridiplantae; Streptophyta; Magnoliopsida; Malvales; Malvaceae.
GCCGAGCUGGGUAACGCUAGUUUGUGACCCGAGUGGGGGCAUUGAGAUGAUUGGACAAUGACUCGGUCCAACAGGCAGGGUCUGUUGGUGCGACUCUCUGGCCUGCCCGUUCCAAGUAGAGAGUUGAAUCAUGUGGUCCGAGCGAAGGCUUGGGCCCUCGUGGCUCCUAGAGAGGAGGGCACCGCGUGAGGCUGGUUUCACAGAGCAGCGAAAACCUCCCGCUUUCGACAGUGGAAGGAUAACGGGCCAGUGCAUCCUAGACCCAAUUUGUCUGGUGGACCGAGAUCAAUCGGACAAUCACCUUU